This 468-nucleotide ribosomal RNA is filed under the name uncultured bacterium. Its description in RNAcentral is "partial 16S ribosomal RNA". It matches the Rfam family "Bacterial small subunit ribosomal RNA", at positions 28 to 507 of the family's 1533-position model. The record is from RNAcentral.
GACGAACGCUGGCGGCGUGCUUAAUACAUGCAAGUCGAACGAACAGGUCCUGCGCUUGUGGGGUGCUCGAGUGGCGAACGGGGGAGUAAAACGUGUGGAACCUGCCCCUGACUUUGUGGUAAAUUCUGGAGACUGGGGCGAUAAUAGGAUAGGAUAUACUGCUGCACGUUGGGGGAUGGUAAGAUUCGGCGGUUGGGGAUGGAAUCGCGGCUUAUGAGCUUGAUGGUGGGGUAGUGGCUUUCCAAGGCUAUGACGGGUAGCCCGCCUGAGAGGGUGACCAGCCACAUUGGGCCUGAGAUACGGCGCAGACUGCUACGGGAGGCAGCAGUGGGGAAUAUUGCACAAUGGGCGGAAGCCUGAUGCAACGACGCCGCGUGCGGGAUGCUGGGCUUCGGGUUGUAAACCGCUUUCUCCGUAGACGUGGCGUGAGUGACGGUAAUGGGUAAGGAAGCCCCGGCUAACUACGCG